Molecule: ribosomal RNA, 988 nt
Filed under: uncultured Bacteroidales bacterium
Lineage: Bacteria; Pseudomonadati; Bacteroidota; Bacteroidia; Bacteroidales
Description: bacterial SSU rRNA
Rfam family: Bacterial small subunit ribosomal RNA
Source: RNAcentral
UCUGAGAGGAAGAUCCCCCACACUGGGACUGAGACACGGCCCAGACUCCUACGGGAGGCAGCAGUGAGGAAUAUUGGACAAUGGCCGGAAGGCUGAUCCAGCCAUGCCGCGUGCAGGAAGAAGGUUCUAUGGAUUGUAAACUGCUUUUGUAGGAGAGCAAUAAGAACUACGUGUAGUUCGAUUGAGAGUAUUCUACGAAUAAGCAUCGGCUAACUCCGUGCCAGCAGCCGCGGUAAUACGGAGGAUGCGAGCGUUAUCCGGAUUUAUUGGGUUUAAAGGGUGCGUAGGCGGUUUGGUAAGUCAGUGGUGAAAUCUUGCAGCUUAACUGUAAAAUUGCCAUUGAUACUGUCAGGCUAGAGAGUAGUUGAAGUGGGUGGAAUGUGUGGUGUAGCGGUGAAAUGCUUAGAUAUCACACAGAAUACCGAUUGCGAAGGCAGCCCGCUAAGCUAUAUCUGACGCUGAGGCACGAAAGUGUGGGGAUCAAACAGGAUUAGAUACCCUGGUAGUCCACACUGUAAACGAUGAUAACUAGCUGUUGGCGAUAUAAGGUCAGUGGCCAAGCGAAAGCGAUAAGUUAUCCACCUGGGGAGUACGACCGCAAGGUUGAAACUCAAAGGAAUUGACGGGGGCCCGCACAAGCGGAGGAACAUGUGGUUUAAUUCGAUGAUACGCGAGGAACCUUACCCGGGCUUGAACGGUGCAGGAAUGAUCCAGAGAUGGGUCAGUCAGCAAUGACUUGCAUCGAGGUGCUGCAUGGUUGUCGUCAGCUCGUGCCGUGAGGUGUCGGCUUAAGUGCCAUAACGAGCGCAACCCUUGUCGUUAGUUGCCAUCAGGUAAAGCUGGGGACUCUAGCGAGACUGCCACCGUAAGGUGCGAGGAAGGGGGGGAUGACGUCAAAUCAGCACGGCCCUUACGUCCGGGGCGACACACGUGUUACAAUGGGGGGUACAGAGGGCUGCUACAGCAGUGAUGUGAUGCCAAUCUCGAA